CACCCUGGCACCUGGGCCGAGUACCUGGAGGAGUUCAUGGCGGGCAGAGUGGCCUAUGGCUCUUGGCAUGACCACGUGAAGGGCUACUGGGAGCGGAGGAAGGAGCACCCCAUCCUCUACCUCUUCUAUGAGGACAUGAAGGAGGACCCCCGGCGGGAGAUCGGGAAGGUAGCGCAGUUCCUGCAGCAGGACCUGCCA
Molecule: non-coding RNA, 198 nt
Organism: Struthio camelus australis
Lineage: Eukaryota; Metazoa; Chordata; Aves; Struthioniformes; Struthionidae
Source: RefSeq, a predicted model, not a curated record